UAGGGAAUCUUCCACAAUGGACGCAAGUCUGAUGGAGCAACGCCGCGUGAGUGAAGAAGGGUUUCGGCUCGUAAAGCUCUGUUGUUAAAGAGGAACGUGGGUAAGAGUAACUGUUUACCCAGUGACGGUAUUUAACCAGAAAGCCACGGCUAACUACGUGCCAA
Molecule: ribosomal RNA, 164 nt
Filed under: uncultured bacterium
Lineage: Bacteria
Description: partial 16S ribosomal RNA
Rfam family: Bacterial small subunit ribosomal RNA
Source: RNAcentral